UUGCGACCACAUGUAACGACUAUGAGUCGAGUAAUAUUACAGGGAUUAGCCUUAAAACGAAAUCACCAGCUCCAGAUUAAGUUCUUUGAUAUUCGUGAAGACUGCCAGACGCAUGACGUGAAGCUCAAGAGGCCAGAUGAGUCGCAUUUAGUUCAAGAAUGGCACGUGGGUGUCGAGACGUGAGACGUGUUGCUGCACGCUAAGGAACAAGUUUCAGAUAUUCGUGGUGCAGUAAUAUCGAUAUGACUUCACACGCGACGAGUUUCCAGUAAUGAGAGUGACUACUGGACUAUUACUCAAGUUUCUCGUCGGAAGAUUCGUGCCGGUGGAAUGAAUCAUCUUCACCACUCACUGCUCAACGUUUGGUAAUUUCGCAAUAUACUUUGUGAGAUGAGACUAAAUUGGACAACUUUUCUCCCAAGUGUGUCUUGACGAAACUGUUAUUGAUGGAUGACCGAUGAGGGGACCGACUGAUAGAUAUUGGUGACUGAGAGGUAAAUUGAUAGGUUAUGUAGAUUGAUAGAUGAAAAAGA
Portunus trituberculatus (swimming crab) is the source of this 533-nucleotide long non-coding RNA. RefSeq lists it as uncharacterized. The record is from RefSeq and is a predicted model, not a curated record. NCBI's taxonomy places the organism in Eukaryota, Metazoa, Arthropoda, Malacostraca, Decapoda, Portunidae. The transcript has 3 exons.